This 253-nucleotide ribosomal RNA is filed under the name uncultured bacterium. RNAcentral's name for it is "partial 16S ribosomal RNA". It matches the Rfam family "Bacterial small subunit ribosomal RNA", at positions 524 to 776 of the family's 1533-position model. The record is from RNAcentral.
UACGGGGGGGGCAAGCGUUGUUCGGAAUUACUGGGCGUAAAGGGAGCGUAGGCGGGUUUUUAAGUCAGGUGUUUAAUCCCGGGGCCCAACCCCGGACAGGCACUUGAAACUGGGAAUCUUGAAUAGUGGAGAGGUCAGUGGAAUUGGGGGUGUAGCGGUGGAAUGCGUAGAGAUCCCCAAGAUCACCCGUUGCGAAGGCGGCUGACUGGACACAUAUUGACGCUGAGGCUCGAAAGCAUGGGGAGCAAACAGG